CCCUUAGAUGUUCUGGGCCGCACGCGCGCUACACUGAUGCAUUCAACGAGCCUAACCUUGACCGAGAGGUCCGGGUAAUCUUUGAAACUGCAUCGUGAUGGGGCUAGAUUAUUGCAAUUAUUAAUCUUCAACGAGGAAUGCCUAGUAAGCGUGAUUCAUCAAAUCGCGUUGAUUACGUCCCUGCCCUUUGUACACACCGCCCGUCGCUCCUACCGAUUGAGUGUGUUGGUGAGGAGUUCGGAUUGGCUCUUAGUGGUGGUUCGCCACCACCUAGAGCUGAGAAGUUCUCCAAACCGCCCCACUUAGAGGAAGGAGAAGUCGUAACA
RNAcentral lists this ribosomal RNA (326 nucleotides) under uncultured eukaryote. RNAcentral's name for it is "partial 18S ribosomal RNA". It matches the Rfam family "Eukaryotic small subunit ribosomal RNA", at positions 1470 to 1796 of the family's 1831-position model. The record is from RNAcentral.